GAAGGUGUGCUGUGAGGCAUGCUGGAGGUAUCAGAAGUGCGAAUGCUGACAUAAGUAACGAUAAAGCGGGUGAAAAGCCCGCUCGCCGGAAGACCAAGGGUUCCUGUCCAACGUUAAUCGGGGCAGGGUGAGUCGACCCCUAAGGCGAGGCCGAAAGGCGUAGUCGAUGGGAAACAGGUUAAUAUUCCUGUACUUGGUGUUACUGCGAAGGGGGGACGGAGAAGGCUAUGUUGGCCGGGCGACGGUUGUCCCGGUUUAAGCGUGUAGGCUGGUUUUCCAGGCAAAUCCGGAAAAUCAAGGCUGAGGCGUGAUGACGAGGCACUACGGUGCUGAAGCAACAAAUGCCCUGCUUCCAGGAAAAGCCUCUAAGCAUCAGGUAACAUCAAAUCGUACCCCAAACCGACACAGGUGGUCAGGUAGAGAAUACCAAGGCGCUUGAGAGAACUCGGGUGAAGGAACUAGGCAAAAUGGUGCCGUAACUUCGGGAGAAGGCACGCUGAUAUGUAGGUGAAGUCCCUUGCGGAUGGAGCUGAAAUCAGUCGAAGAUACCAGCUGGCUGCAACUGUUUAUUAAAAACACAGCACUGUGCAAACACGAAAGUGGACGUAUACGGUGUGACGCCUGCCCGGUGCCGGAAGGUUAAUUGAUGGGGUUAGCCGCAAGGCGAAGCUCUUGAUCGAAGCCCCGGUAAACGGCGGCCGUAACUAUAACGGUCCUAAGGUAGCGAAAUUCCUUGUCGGGUAAGUUCCGACCUGCACGAAUGGCGUAAUGAUGGCCAGGCUGUCUCCACCCGAGACUCAGUGAAAUUGAACUCGCUGUGAAGAUGCAGUGUACCCGCGGCAAGACGGAAAGACCCCGUGAACCUUUACUAUAGCUUGACACUGAACAUUGAGCCUUGAUGUGUAGGAUAGGUGGGAGGCUUUGAAGUGUGGACGCCAGUCUGCAUGGAGCCGACCUUGAAAUACCACCCUUUAAUGUUUGAUGUUCUAACGUUGACCCGUAAUCCGGGUUGCGGACAGUGUCUGGUGGGUAGUUUGACUGGGGCGGUCUCCUCCUAAAGAGUAACGGAGGAGCACGAAGGUUGGCUAAUCCUGGUCGGACAUCAGGAGGUUAGUGCAAUGGCAUAAGCCAGCUUGACUGCGAGCGUGACGGCGCGAGCAGGUGCGAAAGCAGGUCAUAGUGAUCCGGUGGUUCUGAAUGGAAGGGCCAUCGCUCAACGGAUAAAAGGUACUCCGGGGAUAACAGGCUGAUACCGCCCAAGAGUUCAUAUCGACGGCGGUGUUUGGCACCUCGAUGUCGGCUCAUCACAUCCUGGGGCUGAAGUAGGUCCCAAGGGUAUGGCUGUUCGCCAUUUAAAGUGGUACGCGAGCUGGGUUUAGAACGUCGUGAGACAGUUCGGUCCCUAUCUGCCGUGGGCGCUGGAGAACUGAGGGGGGCUGCUCCUAGUACGAGAGGACCGGAGUGGACGCAUCACUGGUGUUCGGGUUGUCAUGCCAAUGGCACUGCCCGGUAGCUAAAUGCGGAAGAGAUAAGUGCUGAAAGCAUCUAAGCACGAAACUUGCCCCGAGAUGAGUUCUCCCUGACUCCUUAAGGGUUCUGAAGGAACGUUGAAGACGACGACGUUGAUAGGCCGGGUGUGUAAGCGCAGCGAUGCGUUGAGCUAACCGGUACUAAUGAACCGUGAGGCUUAACCUU
This 1695-nucleotide ribosomal RNA is filed under the name Escherichia coli KTE103. RNAcentral's name for it is "bacterial LSU rRNA". It matches the Rfam family "Bacterial large subunit ribosomal RNA", at positions 1252 to 2925 of the family's 2925-position model. Lineage: Bacteria; Pseudomonadati; Pseudomonadota; Gammaproteobacteria; Enterobacterales; Enterobacteriaceae. The record is from RNAcentral.